AGAGUUUGAUCAUGGCUCAGGAUGAACGCUGGCGGUAUGCUUAACACAUGCAAGUCGAACGGGCUCUUCGGAGCUAGUGGCGGACGGGUGAGUAACGCGUGAGAAUCUGGCUUCAGGUUCGGGACAACAGUUGGAAACGGCUGCUAAUACCGGAUGUGCCUUAUGGUGAAAGAUUUAUCACCUGAAGAUGAGCUCGCGUCUGAUUAGCUAGUAGGUGUGGUAAGAGCGCACCUAGGCGACGAUCAGUAGCUGGUCUGAGAGGAUGAUCAGCCACACUGGGACUGAGACACGGCCCAGACUCCUACGGGAGGCAGCAGUGGGGAAUUUUCCGCAAUGGGCGAAAGCCUGACGGAGCAAUACCGCGUGAGGGAGGAAGGCUCUUGGGUUGUAAACCUCUUUUCUCAGGGAAGAAUGAUGACGGUACCUGAGGAAUAAGCAUCGGCUAACUCCGUGCCAGCAGCCGCGGUAAUACGGAGGAUGCAAGCGUUAUCCGGAAUGAUUGGGCGUAAAGCGUCCGCAGGUGGCAAUGUAAGUCUGCUGUCAAAGACCGGGGCUUAACUUCGGAAAGGCAGUGGAAACUGAACAGCUAGAGUAUGGUAGGGGCAGAGGGAAUUCCUGGUGUAGCGGUGAAAUGCGUAGAGAUCAGGAAGAACAUCGGUGGCGAAGGCGCUCUGCUGGACCAUAACUGACACUCAGGGACGAAAGCUAGGGGAGCGAAUGGGAUUAGAUACCCCCGUAGUCC
Molecule: ribosomal RNA, 742 nt
Filed under: uncultured cyanobacterium
Lineage: Bacteria; Bacillati; Cyanobacteriota
Description: bacterial SSU rRNA
Rfam family: Bacterial small subunit ribosomal RNA
Source: RNAcentral